UUGGAGGGCAAGUCUGGUGCCAGCAGCCGCGGUAAUUCCAGCUCCAAUAGCGUAUAUUAAAGUUGUUGCGGUUAAAAAGCUCGUAGUUGAAUUUCGGGAUCAGAAUAUUGGUCAUGCUUAGGUAUGUACUGGUAUUAUUGAUUUCUCCCUUCUGAAGAACCAUAAUGUCAUUAAUUUGAUGUCAUGGGGAAUCAGGACUGUUACUUUGAAAAAUUAGAGUGUUUAAAGCAGGCUUUCGCUUGAAUACAUUAGCAUGGAAUAAUGAAAUAGGACGUUUGAUUCUAUUUUGUUGGUUUCUAGGAUCGACGUAAUGAUUAAUAGGGAUAGUUGGGGGCAUUAGUAUUCAAUUGUCAGAGGUGAAAUUCUUGGAUUUAUUGAAGACUAACUACUGCGAAAGCAUUUGCCAAGGAUGUUUUCAUUAAUCAAGAACGAAAGUUAGGGGAUCGAAGACGAUCAGAUACCGUCGUAGUCUUAACCAUAAACUAUGCCGACUAGGGAUCGGAUGAUGUUAAUUUUUUAAUGACUCAUUCGGCGCCUUACGGGAAACCAAAGUGUUUGGGUUC
RNAcentral lists this ribosomal RNA (563 nucleotides) under uncultured Glomus. Its description in RNAcentral is "SSU rRNA". It matches the Rfam family "Eukaryotic small subunit ribosomal RNA", at positions 548 to 1114 of the family's 1831-position model. Lineage: Eukaryota; Fungi; Glomeromycota; Glomeromycetes; Glomerales; Glomeraceae. The record is from RNAcentral.